RNAcentral lists this ribosomal RNA (1265 nucleotides) under metagenome. RNAcentral describes it as "bacterial LSU rRNA". It matches the Rfam family "Archaeal large subunit ribosomal RNA", at positions 1717 to 2987 of the family's 2987-position model. The record is from RNAcentral.
CCAAAAGGGUGGAUGCAGUCCGUACCAAGAACUGACACAGGUGCCCCUCGCUGAGAAGGCGAAGGCGUGUCGGAAUUAAUCGUGUUAAGGGAACUCGGCAAAUUGGCCCUAUAACUUCGGGAUAAGGGGUGCCUGCCCAGAGAUUGGGCAGGUCGCAGUGACAAGGGCGCUCCGACUGUCUAAUAACAACAUAGCAGACUGCAACUCCGAAAGGACUAGUAUAGUCUGUGAUUCCUGCCCAGUGCGAGUAUCUGAACACCGGGUUCAACCGGACGAAGGACUCGUAAACGGCGGGGGUAACUAUGACCCUCUUAAGGUAGCGUAGUACCUUGUCGCUUAAUUGGCGACUUGCAUGAAUGGAAUAACGAGAGCGCUACUGUCCCUAACACGAAUCCGUUGAACCUUUUGUACUAGUGCAGAGACUAGUGACUCCUUAUGGGAAGUGAAGACCCCGUGGAGCUUUACUGCAGCCUGUCGUUGGAUUACGGUAUUACCUGCGCAGGGUAGAUGGGAGGCGUCGAGCCGGUCCUUGUGGGGAUCGGGGAGCCAACGAUGAGACACCAUCCUGGUUUUAUUGUAAUUCUAACUGAGUUUCUCAGGACAUCGAUAGGUGGGCAGUUUGGGUGGGGCGCCACACCCUCGAAAAAAUAUCAAGGGUGCCCUAAGGUCAACUCAAGCGGGUCAGAAACCCGCUGGAGAGUGUCAAGAGCAUAAGUUGGCCUGACGCGAUUGAGCAUAACAAUCAAUCGCGAGAGGAAACUCGGGUCUAACGAACCAAUACGCCCUGCAGGUGAGGUCUAUUGACUACAGAAAAGCUACCCCGGGGAUAACAGAGUCGUCGCCGGCAAGAGCACAUAUCGACCCGGCGGCUUGCUACCUCGAUGUCGGUUCUUUCCAUCCUGGCUGUGCAGCAGCAGCCAAGGGUGAGGUUGUUCGCCUAUUAAAGGGGAUCGUGAGCUGGGUUUAGACCGUCGUGAGACAGGUCGGUUACUAUCUAUAAGGAGUGCAGGAAGUCUGAAGGGAAGAAUGAAAUAGUACGAGAGGAACUUUCAUUCGGCGCCUCUGGUCGAUCGGUUGCCUGACAAGGCACUGCCGAGCAGCUACGCGCCACGUGAUAAAAGCUGAAAGCAUCUAAGCUUGAAACAUACCCCAAAAAGAGACUUCAUUAAAGACACGGAUAGAAGAUCCGGUUGAUAGGAUCGGGAUGUACGCACGAAGGCAACGACGUGUUCAGUCCGCGAUUACUAAUUGUCCUAAUCUUCCAU